AUGGAGAAGCUCUCCGUGGCGGCCACCAUCUUCUGCGCCGUUGUCCUUGCGGCUCUGGCGGCGGCCGGCGGCGAGGCGGCCGUCGUGGAGCACACCUUUGUCGUCCACGAGAUGAACCAGACGCACAUGUGCAACACGACCAAGAUUUACGUGGUGAACGGGCAGCUCCCGGGCCCCACAAUCGACGUCACCGACGGCGACACGGUUGUCGUCCACGUUGUGAACCGUCUCCCCCACGGGCUCACCAUCCAUUGGCACGGCGUCCGGCAGAUCAGGAGCCGCUGGUCCGAUGGCGCCGGCUUCGUCACCGAGUGCCCCAUCUCUCCCGGUGGCGAGCACAUGUACCGCUUCAAUGUCACCGGCCAGGUUGGCACGCUGUGGUGGCAUGCCCAUGUUAACUGCCUUCGUGCCAAAGUCGCCGGCGCCUUCAUCAUCCGCCCCAAAGGCGGGAGGUAUCCAUUCCCGACGCCCGCCAAAGACGUCCCCAUCAUUAUCGGCGAGUGGUGGGAGCUCGACCUCGUCGAGCUCGAUAAGAGGAUGCACGACGGCAACUUCGCCGACAACCCACUGUCGGCGACCAUCAAUGGUAAGCUCAGCGACCUCAAGAACUGCUCCGGCAAGCCAGAGGAGAGCUUCGUCCUUGACGUGGUGCGCGGGGAGACAUACCUGUUGCGGAUCGUGAACACAGCCCUCUUUUCGGAGUACUAUUCCAAGGUCGCUGGGCACACGUUCACGGUGGUGGGAGCCGACGGGUACUACCUAACGCCGUACAAGACGGACAUGGUGACCGUCGCGCCAGGGGAGGCCAUCGACGUGCUCAUGGCCGCCGACGCCCCGCCCGCGCACUGCCAUAUGGUUGCGCUCGCGAACCAGCCGCCGGAGCCUGACCCGCAGAUCCCUAGGUUCGACUCCCGCGGCCUUGUCCGCUAUGCUGGAUCCUCCCACAACAACAAUGGGUUGUCGGUGCCUACUCCGCUCAUGCCCAGCCAGCACAACACCAUGCCGUCCUACUACUUCCACAACAACCUCACCGGCCUUGCCCACCCAGACCGCCACUGCGUUCCCAUGCACGUCGAUGAGCGCCUCUACUUCACGCUCAGCCUCGGCUCCAUCUGCCGAAACGGCACAAAGACGUGCCAGCGCCGGCGGAGUCGCGAGACCAUUGUGGUGGCCACCAUGAACAAUGUAUCCUUCCGCCACCCGACCCACGUCCUCCUCGAGAGGUACUACGACGGCCGGACAAGUGGCCUGUACACAGAGGACCUCCCCGACAAUCCACCACACCCGUACAACUACACCGACCGCGCCCUGAUCCCGCCAGGCCCACUGGAGGAGGCGCUGGAGCCGACGUUCAAGGCGACCAAGCUACGGAGAUUCCGGUACAACACCUCGGUGGAGAUCAUCUUCCAGAGCACGGCGUUGCUACAGAGCGACUCAAACCCCAUGCACCUCCAUGGCUAUGACUUCUUCGUCCUCGCCAUGGGGAUCGGCAACUACGACUCCAAAACAGACCCCAAGAAGUUCAACUAUCACAAUCCACAGCUGAGGAACACGGUGCAGGUGCCCAGGACCGGCUGGGCUGCUGUGCGCUUCGUCACCGACAACCCCGGAAUGUGGUACCUUCACUACCAUUUUGAGUUCCACAUCAUCAUGGGCAUGGCGACGGCGUUCAUCGUGGAGAACGGGCCGACGCCAGAGACCAGCCUCCCCCCGCCGCCACUAGAAUUCAAGAGGUGUGGUUCUAAUGGCUUAACUCAGCCAUAG
This 1764-nucleotide ribosomal RNA is filed under the name Triticum aestivum (bread wheat). RNAcentral describes it as "partial small subunit ribosomal RNA". The record is from RNAcentral. Lineage: Eukaryota; Viridiplantae; Streptophyta; Magnoliopsida; Poales; Poaceae.